Felis catus (domestic cat) is the source of this 54-nucleotide regulatory RNA element. It matches the Rfam family "Editing element of GABA-3 exon 9". The record is from Rfam. Lineage: Eukaryota; Metazoa; Chordata; Mammalia; Carnivora; Felidae.
AAAGUGUCCUAUGCUACUGCCAUGGAUUGGUUUAUAGCUGUCUGCUUUGCUUUC